Long non-coding RNA from Neopsephotus bourkii (Bourke's parrot), 409 nucleotides. RefSeq lists it as uncharacterized. NCBI's taxonomy places the organism in Eukaryota, Metazoa, Chordata, Aves, Psittaciformes, Psittacidae. The transcript has 2 exons. The record is from RefSeq and is a predicted model, not a curated record.
GAAGCAGCCACAAGAUGUCAACAUCUACCAAGCUGCUGCUCAGAGCCAGUUCUGCGUUGUCGGGAUGGAGAGCCCUGCGAGGAAGUUCGCCCGCGGAGCGCAGGCAUAUCAAGUUCAAAAGAAAACGUUGCCUCUCGCUAAUGAGAAGAUUAAUUGCAUUCACAUAUGCAGCAGACUUUGCCAAUCCUGUUGAAAGUUUGAUGACCUUUAAGAGACAAAGUUUUAGUGUGCCCAGGAUAAAUAAUUCAUCCUUCACUGAUCUGCCCUCUGUAUCCAUCUGCUUAAUGCUGAGGCAUGUUGAUUAAAGCGACUGAGUGCAAUUAUCUUCAUACUUCAUCGAGAUAAUAAUAUCUGUUUUCCUAUUGUACUUCAACGCACAAUUGCUCUUUUAAAGAUAUCAACAGCCCAA